Molecule: ribosomal RNA, 465 nt
Filed under: Vreelandella stevensii
Lineage: Bacteria; Pseudomonadati; Pseudomonadota; Gammaproteobacteria; Oceanospirillales; Halomonadaceae
Description: partial 16S ribosomal RNA
Rfam family: Bacterial small subunit ribosomal RNA
Source: RNAcentral
CCUACGGGGGGCUGCAGUGGGGAAUAUUGGACAAUGGGGGGAACCCUGAUCCAGCCAUGCCGCGUGUGUGAAGAAGGCCCUCGGGUUGUAAAGCACUUUCAGUGAGGAAGAACGCCUGGUGGUUAAUACCCAUCAGGAAAGACAUCACUCACAGAAGAAGCACCGGCUAACUCCGUGCCAGCAGCCGCGGUAAUACGGAGGGUGCGAGCGUUAAUCGGAAUUACUGGGCGUAAAGCGCGCGUAGGUGGCUUGAUAAGCCGGUUGUGAAAGCCCCGGGCUCAACCUGGGAACGGCAUCCGGAACUGUCAAGCUAGAGUGCAGGAGAGGAAGGUAGAGUUCCCGGUGUAGCGGUGAAAUGCGUAGAGAUCGGGAGGAAUACCAGUGGCGAAGGCGGCCUUCUGGACUGACACUGACACUGAGGUGCGAAAGCGUGGGUAGCAAACAGGAUUAGAUACCCCAGUAGUC